CUGUGCUAAUACCGCAUACGACCUGAGGGUGAAAGCGGGGGAUCGCAAGACCUCGCGCGAUAGGAGCGGCCGAUAUCGGAUUAGCUUGUUGGUGAGGUAAAGGCUCACCAAGGCGACGAUCCGUAGCUGGUCUGAGAGGACGACCAGCCACACUGGAACUGAGACACGGUCCAGACUCCUACGGGAGGCAGCAGUGGGGAAUUUUGGACAAUGGGGGCAACCCUGAUCCAGCCAUUCCGCGUGAGUGAAGAAGGCCUUCGGGUUGUAAAGCUCUUUCAGCAGGAACGAAACGGUGGCUACUAAUACUAGCUACUAAUGACGGUACCUGAAGAAGAAGCACCGGCUAACUACGUGCCAGCAGCCGCGGUAAUACGUAGGGUGCGAGCGUUAAUCGGAAUUACUGGGCGUAAAGCGUGCGCAGGCGGUUAUGUAAGACAGGUGUGAAAUCCCCGGGCUUAACCUGGGAACUGCGCUUGUGACUGCAUAACUCGAGUGUGGCAGAGGGGGGUGGAAUUCCACGUGUAGCAGUGAAAUGCGUAGAGAUGUGGAGGAACACCGAUGGCGAAGGCAGCCCCCUGGGUCAACACUGACGCUCAUGCACGAAAGCGUGGGGAGCAAACAGGAUUAGAUACCCUGGUAGUCCACGCCCUAAACGAUGCGAACUAGGUGUUGGGGAAGGAGACUUUCUUAUACCGCAGCUAACGCGUGAAGUUCGCCGCCUGGGGAGUACGGUUGCAAGAUUAAAACUCAAAGGAAUUGACGGGGACCCGCACAAGCGGUGGAUGAUGUGGAUUAAUUCGAUACAACGCGAAAAACCUUACCUACCCUUGACAUGUCAGGAAGUCCGCUGAGAGGUGGAUGUGCUCGAAAGAGAACCUGAACACAGGUGCUGCAUGGCUGUCGUCAGCUCGUGUCGUGAGAUGUUGGGUUAAGUCCCGCAACGAGCGCAACCCUUGUCAUUAAUUGCCAUCAUUCAGUUGGGCACUUUAAUGAGACUGCCGGUGACAAACCGGAGGAAGGUGGGGAUGACGUCAAGUCCUCAUGGCCCUUAUGGGUAGGGCUUCACACGUCAUACAAUGGUCGGUACAGAGGGUCGCCAACCCGCGAGGGGGAGCCAAUCCCACAAAGCCGAUCGUAGUCCGGAUCGCAGUCUGCAACUCGACUGCGUGAAGUCGGAAUCGCUAGUAAUCGUGGAUCAGCAUGUCACGGUGAAUACGUUCCCGGGUCUUGUACACACCGCCCGUCACACCAUGGGAGUGGGUUCCACCAGAAGUAGGUAGUCUAACCGCAAGGAGGGCGCUUACCACCG
This 1309-nucleotide ribosomal RNA is filed under the name metagenome. RNAcentral's name for it is "bacterial SSU rRNA". It matches the Rfam family "Bacterial small subunit ribosomal RNA", at positions 158 to 1462 of the family's 1533-position model. The record is from RNAcentral.